AGGCUCAGCAAAACCAAAACUGACUUGGCUCUGAGGUUGGCACGAUGCCUUUGCAUGAACGGGGAAUCCUCUCUUUAAAGCUUGGUUAGGAGACACGGGGGGAGUGGGAAAGGGGGAAAGAUCUUGGAUCUGCUGCAAAUAGCAUGUCCUACGCCUCCUCUGUGGAAGCUCAUGUAAACGCUUUUCAUUCAAACAGCAAAGCUGUGAGUUUGCUAUUUCUUGGACUGUAAAUUAAAGUAGGAAAAAAAAAUCCUAACAUGUUCACGCUAGUAAAGCUCUCAAUCAUUCAAGCUAUUAUCAGUGCGAGCUCUGGUGGGGAAAGGAAUGUGCACAAUAGUUUUCAGGAAAAAAAAGAAUAAUAGGAAGAGGCAUCUCGCUGCCCUGUGAACCAGCUAAAUUAGCGCCACUUGUUGCAGAUGCUCCUCUCUCUGGGUGGGGUGCAGCUAUCAGUCAUGUUUAUCAGGUUGGAGAGCACACCAGUGCUUACAAGCUUAAAUCUUCAGCAUCAGCUGACCCAAAUGAUAGCUGCUGGUUCUCAUUUAAAAUGUGCAUGACUUGAAGAGGGCAGGUAUUUCACAAGCACUUACGCAGCAGAAUGUGUGCUGGAACAGCAGGGGUAAACAUCUUGAAUUUAGGAGUCCAAAAAUAACAGGUGCCUGCAGACCCAGGAGGGACAGCCUGGGUCACUGUCCCUGUGUCAGGACCAAGCCUCAGGCUGGCUGGCUGGCUUAGAAACUUGUCCCUGCUGAUGUCCAAGGUUAGUUUAUAUCCUUUGGAAAACGUUUUGGAACCAGACCAGAAAAUUCAGCUAGACCUUAACCGUGACUUGGCUGGGACGACACCCAAACAAAGGUCAAAAGAGAUGAGACCCAACCCUGCCCGUGCACAUGCAGCCUCUCCAGCAAGUAAUCCCCAGGAAAAAUAAAUAAAUCAAAGGUCUAAUACGGUAGUUCUCCUUGGAUUUGCAGCUGCCUCAGCUCAAUUCAAAAGCAGGCUUCCCCUUUCUUUUUUCUCUCGAGCCACUGCUAAGGUCAGAGAGGAAAACCUGAGCUGAAACAGUAACGAACUUCAUCUAGAGUGGAAACUGGAAUUCACCCCUCGGCCCCAGCCAGGCACAGGAAUUUCCACCCACCGUCCUUUCUGUGUUUCUGCUUCUGUGGUCCUGAAGGGCUGGGUUACCUGUGGGAUGGAGAGGGCAGUUUGUUUGCACAGCUCUUUUUGCCAGUCUUUUAGGUGAGGCUGUCAGCCAGAGGGUCGGGGAAUAUCAAAAGAGACUGGAUCAUCAGACUUUGUAGAAAUUCCAUAUACAAAAUACGCCUGGUUGGAACGUAUAGCUGGGAGAACAGGUGGGUUGGGGCGGGGAGGUGGGAGGGUGGGGGAGCAUGCAUGCAUUGGGAAAGGGUCUCUCUCAGCUUUUGUACAGCUUCAUGCCCCUAUUUCUCAUAUCAACACACAGGCAACACUUUGUCUUUUAAUGUGAGAGAAGGGGGCUAGACAUCUCAUCACAGCAAAAUGAAAAUCUGCUGCUUUUACUUGGAUGUGGGAAACAUUCACUCGCUUUUAAAUAUAAAACUAAACAUACGUUUGUGAACCUACUGUCACUUUCAUGUGGGAGCCUUAGCUGAACACAAAAGAUUACAUUGUGCAGCUACAAUUGAAUAGAGCAUAUAGGAUUAAAGAGAUUUUAUUUAGCCACACAUGAAAUAGCAGAGCUGAUGGCGGCCUCUGGUACAGAAGGAAAGAAAACAAAGCCAAGUAGUUCAGUGAGCACUGGUGCUAACAGAGCUGCAUCCCCUGUGUAUUCAUGUAUCGUGGCUGAUUGACUGGGGUGUCUAAGAUGGCAUAAACUGCAUUUGAAGCUUUUCAUACAGUUCAGGAACUUAUUAGUCUUUCCACUUUUAUGGAAUCUUUGAAGUCUAAUAAGA
This is a long non-coding RNA of Anser brachyrhynchus (Pink-footed goose), 1925 nucleotides long. The record is from Ensembl. Lineage: Eukaryota; Metazoa; Chordata; Aves; Anseriformes; Anatidae.